CUUUUCAGUGGCUGGUAGAGUCUGAAUAACUCAUAAAUUUUGUGUUGUCUAUCAGCUUCAUCUCUGGUUUCAUAGAGAGUGGAGUUAAAUAACAGCACUAAAUCU
This is a small nucleolar RNA of Argentina anserina (silverweed cinquefoil), 105 nucleotides long. RefSeq annotates it as small nucleolar RNA snoR97. The transcript has a single exon. Lineage: Eukaryota; Viridiplantae; Streptophyta; Magnoliopsida; Rosales; Rosaceae. The record is from RefSeq and is a predicted model, not a curated record.